This 472-nucleotide ribosomal RNA is filed under the name uncultured bacterium. RNAcentral's name for it is "bacterial SSU rRNA". It matches the Rfam family "Bacterial small subunit ribosomal RNA", at positions 355 to 825 of the family's 1533-position model. The record is from RNAcentral.
UGGGGAAUAUUGGACAAUGGGCGAAAGCCUGAUCCAGCCAUGCCGCGUGUGUGAAGAAGGUCUUCGGGUUGUAAAGCACUUUAAGCGAGGAGGAAUGGCUCUGGGUUAGUACCCUUGAGCAGUGACGUUACUCGCAGAAUAAGCACCGGCUAACUCUGUGCCAGCAGCCGCGGUAAUACAGAGGGUGCAAGCGUUAAUCGGAAUUACUGGGCGUAAAGCGCGCGUAGGCGGUUACGUAAGUUGGAUGUGAAAUCCCCGGGCUCAACCUGGGAAUUGCAUUCAAAACUGCGUGGCUAGAGUGUGGGAGAGGAAGGUAGAAUUCCAGGUGUAGCGGUGAAAUGCGUAGAUAUCUGGAGGAAUACCGAUGGCGAAGGCAGCCUUCUGGCCUAACACUGACGCUGAGGUGCGAAAGCAUGGGGAGCAAACAGGAUUAGAUACCCAAGUAGUCCCUGAGCGGGCUGGCAAGGCGCAU